Molecule: ribosomal RNA, 484 nt
Filed under: uncultured bacterium
Lineage: Bacteria
Description: partial 16S ribosomal RNA
Rfam family: Bacterial small subunit ribosomal RNA
Source: RNAcentral
AUUGAACGCUGGCGGCAGGCCUAACACAUGCAAGUCGAGCGGAUGAAGGGAGCUUGCUCCUGGAUUCAGCGGCGGACGGGUGAGUAAUGCCUAGGAAUCUGCCUGGUAGUGGGGGAUAACGUCCGGAAACGGGCGCUAAUACCGCAUACGUCCUGAGGGAGAAAGUGGGGGAUCUUCGGACCUCACGCUAUCAGAUGAGCCUAGGUCGGAUUAGCUAGUUGGUGGGGUAAAGGCCUACCAAGGCGACGAUCCGUAACUGGUCUGAGAGGAUGAUCAGUCACACUGGAACUGAGACACGGUCCAGACUCCUACGGGAGGCAGCAGUGGGGAAUAUUGGGCAAUGGGCGAAAGCCUGAUCCAGCAAUGCCGCGUGUGUGAAGAAGGUCUUCGGAUUGUAAAGCACUUUAAGUUGGGAAGAAGGGCAGUAAGUUAAUACCUUGCUGUUUUGACGUUACCAACAGAAUAAGCACCGGCUAACUUCGUG